This 386-nucleotide transfer-messenger RNA is filed under the name Methylobacterium sp. SCN 67-24. It matches the Rfam family "Alphaproteobacteria transfer-messenger RNA". Rfam says of the family: Bacterial tmRNA, also known as 10Sa RNA or SsrA, is named for its dual tRNA and mRNA-like properties. Lineage: Bacteria; Pseudomonadati; Pseudomonadota; Alphaproteobacteria; Hyphomicrobiales; Methylobacteriaceae. The record is from RNAcentral. RNAcentral also lists the same sequence under 4 other names.
UCUCUUUCCCCCCGCGAUCACAGUGCCUAUAUUCGCCAUGCCGCUCGCAAGAACGGCUAUGGCGAUAAACGGACGUCGGAAUAAGCCUUUCGGACCCGGGGGCGGUACCCGGCGCCUCCACCCCAGCCCUGCGGCGCGAGCAGCAGGAAACUUGCAGCCUCGAAGCUGCAGGGCUGCGGCGGGGGCGAAAUAGGAUCGACGAGGGUGUAAAGGUCGUUCUUUUGCUCGGCAUGGUUCCGCCGUUAUCGGGCCAAAGCAUAGUUGCCAACGACAACAAUGCUCGGGUUGCUGUCGCCGCGUAAGCGGUGCUGGUUCCCAAACCAAAGCCCUUGCGCUUAGCCGCGUAAGGCGGGGCUCGGAGGCGCCUGGCAACAGAAGCCUCCACU